Molecule: ribosomal RNA, 440 nt
Filed under: uncultured bacterium
Lineage: Bacteria
Description: partial 16S ribosomal RNA
Rfam family: Bacterial small subunit ribosomal RNA
Source: RNAcentral
CUACGGGAGGCAGCAGUGAGGAGUAUUGCACAAUGGGGGGAACCCUGAUGCAGCAACGCCGCGUGGAGGAUGACGCAUUUCGGUGUGUAAACUCCUUUUAUAUGUCAAGAAAAUGACGGUAGCAUAUGAAUAAGCACCGGCUAACUCCGUGCCAGCAGCCGCGGGUAAUACGGAGGGUGCAAGCGUUACUCGGAAUCACUGGGCGUAAAGGACGCGUAGGCGGGUUGGAAAGUCAGGUGUGAAAUCCUACAGCUUAACUGUAGAACUGCACUUGAAACUUCUAAUCUAGAGUAUGGGAGGGGGAGAUGGAAUUAGUGGUGUAGGGGUAAAAUCCGUAGAUAUCACUAGGAAUACCUAAAGCGAAGGCGAUCUCCUGGAACAUUACUGACGCUAAGGCGUGAAAGCGUGGGGAGCAAACAGGAUUAGAUACCCGUGUAGUC